This 223-nucleotide long non-coding RNA is filed under the name Castor canadensis (American beaver). RNAcentral describes it as "lncRNA (ENSCCNG00000031564.1)". Lineage: Eukaryota; Metazoa; Chordata; Mammalia; Rodentia; Castoridae. The record is from RNAcentral.
GUGGCUCUCAACCAGACAACCAAUGAAGACAUCAAAGGAUCAUGGACAGGGAAGAAUCGUGUCCAGAAUCCCUAUAGCCAUGGCAAUAUGUGAAGAACUGCUGUGAAGUGCUGUGUGGUCCCUUGCCCCCCAGUGUGCUGGAUCGAAGGGGUAUUUUGCCACUGGAGGAAAGUGGAAGUCGACCUCCUAGUACUCAAGAGACUAGUAGCAGUCUCUUGCCACA